This 107-nucleotide small nucleolar RNA is filed under the name Oryza meridionalis. Its description in RNAcentral is "Plant small nucleolar RNA R71". It matches the Rfam family "Plant small nucleolar RNA R71". Rfam says of the family: R71 is a member of the C/D box family of snoRNAs containing the C (UGAUGA) and D (CUGA) box motifs. Multiple nearly identical copies of this snoRNA have been identified in Arabidopsis, and it is thought to function as a 2'-O-ribose methylation guide for 18S ribosomal RNA. The record is from Rfam by way of RNAcentral. Lineage: Eukaryota; Viridiplantae; Streptophyta; Magnoliopsida; Poales; Poaceae.
AUCCCAUGGUGAGGACAGGCGGCUACAUAUUCCUGUAGACAUUCCCAUGCUUCAGGAAUCGAUUCGUCCCUUGUCUGCUGGAAACUUGAAAUCCUUUCGAGAUGGGC